Molecule: long non-coding RNA, 810 nt
Organism: Glycine soja
Lineage: Eukaryota; Viridiplantae; Streptophyta; Magnoliopsida; Fabales; Fabaceae
Exons: 4
Source: RefSeq, a predicted model, not a curated record
UAAAGUCAACAUCUUUUAGUUCGGAAGAUAUAGAUUGUAGUACAUAAAUUUUUUAGCACAUGCAUGUCUUUGUUUCCAGUUAACUACUUGUUCAUCAUUUCCCUUGUUUUGUUGUAAUGUGUAGGUGUAGAAGUUAUUGCUUGGGAGACUAAAAGUACUUCAAAUCAGAACUGUUCAUGGGGUGCUUCAAUGGAGAAGAAUGAAAUUGCUUAUGAUUCAAAUCAUUCUAGUGGUUGGGGAAAAGUUGGAGGCAACUUGGAUCAUAAAAUUAGAACAGCUCCUUCUCGUGGCAAUGCAAAUAGGAUAACAAAAUUACAAUCAAAUCCUACUGUGACUGUGAAAACAGCUUGUUAGAAAAGGAAAUGAUGAAAAUGUUCGCAGAAUAGCAGCAGAGGCACUUUUCAUUCUUUCCAUAGAAGAUGGGCAAUGUGAAUGAAAAUUGGGAAGCAAAAAUAGGUCAAGAAAAUUAAAUGAUAAAGAUGGCUAGCUGAGUGAUUCCUCUUCAAACAGUGAAGUUGGCUAUCGAAGACUUUGUCUUGAUCAAGAGUUGAAGCAAUUUUUUCAAACUAUGUUUUGUAUUGUGACCAUUGUUACACUUGUUAUUAGACUUAGAAUCAUAUGAGUUUUUCAAUCACAUUAGAUUUGCAGUUAUUUGCUCUGUCAUGACAAGGAUUUGGAACCUGUUUUUCCCCAUUUUUUUUAUAGUCUAAGCUUAGGAAAAUCCUGAAGCAUUGAGUUCAAUGCACUAUGAAGAUGUUCAAGAUUUUACCUUCUUUCAAUAUAUACCAUGUCUUUUGAGUUUCAUGUUUA